This 253-nucleotide ribosomal RNA is filed under the name uncultured bacterium. RNAcentral's name for it is "partial 16S ribosomal RNA". It matches the Rfam family "Bacterial small subunit ribosomal RNA", at positions 524 to 776 of the family's 1533-position model. The record is from RNAcentral.
AACGUAGGACGCAAGCGUUAUCCGGAAUUACUGGGCGUAAAGCGCGUGUAGGCGGUUUGAUAAGUCACUGUUGAAAGCUCCCGGCUAAACUGGGAGAGUUCCGGUGAGACUGUCAGGCUAGAGUACGGGAGAGGGAUGCAGAAUUCCGGGUGUAGUGGUGAAAUGCGUAGAGAUCCGGAGGAAUACCAGAGGCGAAGGCGGCAUCCUGGCCUGAAACUGACACUGAGACGCGAAAGCAUGGGGAGCGAACGGG